Molecule: ribosomal RNA, 573 nt
Filed under: uncultured bacterium
Lineage: Bacteria
Description: bacterial SSU rRNA
Rfam family: Bacterial small subunit ribosomal RNA
Source: RNAcentral
AACGCUGGCGGCGUGCCUAACACAUGCAAGUCGAACGCUCUGCGCAAGCAGAGAGUGGCGGACGGGUGAGUAACACGUGGGGACCUACCCCCCGGUGAGGAAUACCGGCGAGAAAUCGUCGACAAGACCGCAUAGCCUCGGGCAACCGAGGAAAGCUCCGCAAGGGGCGCCGGAGGAUGGACCUGCGGCCGAUUAGCUGGUUGGUGAGGUAAGAGCCCACCAAGGCAACGAUCGGUAGCUGGUCUGAGAGGAUGAUCAGCCACACUGGGAUUGAGAACGGCCCAGACUCCUACGGGAGGCAGCAGUGAGGAAUUUUCGGCAAUGGGGGCAACCCUGACCGAGCAACGCCGCGUGCAGGAGGAAGGUCUUCGGAUCGUAAACUGCUUUUCUCGGGGACGAGAUCGGACGGUACCCGAGGAAGAAGCCCCGGCUGACUACGUGCCAGCAGCCGCGGUAAUACGUAUGGGGCGAGCGUUGUCCGGAGUUACUGGGCGUAAAGCGCCCGCAGGCGGUCGGUCGCGUUUGAGGUAACAGCUCCUGGCUUCACUGGGAGAGCGUCUCAAAAACGGGCUG